Molecule: long non-coding RNA, 730 nt
Filed under: Homo sapiens (human)
Lineage: Eukaryota; Metazoa; Chordata; Mammalia; Primates; Hominidae
Description: HSALNT0391023
Source: RNAcentral
GCAGCGCCUUACCCGGGAGGGCGGCGUCCCCAGGGGCGCCGGGACGGCCGAGGUGCAGGCACCCGAGGAGCAGGACGCAGCGCAGCAGCAUUUUCGUGACCCCUGUGUCAGUGUUCCCGGUGCAGGAGUGUAGCACUUUUGCUUGUUGGGGCUGCAUCCAGAAACCUGGGGAAAAUCUGUCCACUGGACGUCUCAGAAGACCGGCAUCAUCACUCCCACCAACUGGACUGCUGGCCGGUAGCAAAAGACCAGCUGGAAAUUUCAUAAAAGGUUAGACAAUCCACAGUUACUCAGUGUUACGCAACAGGUCUCUGCAGCACAGAGCACGAACUGGGGAGUCAGGAUGCUGGAGUCCAGCCCUGCCUCUCUGCGGAUUCCCUGCCUGACCUUGGGAAAGCCUCUUGGGGUCUCGGGGCAUAGGGCAGGACUGAGACGUUGAGACCCCAAGUGCAAAGAAGACACAUUUCUCCUACCACGAGUAAUCAAAAACACUAUGAAACUGUAAUAUGGGCCGGGUGCGGUGGCUCACGCCUGUAAUCACACUUUCGGAGGCCGAGGAGAUUGAGCCCAGGAGUUGAAGACCAGCCUGGGCAACAUAGGCAGAUCCCAUCUCAUUUUGUUAAUAUAAAAUUUUUAAAUAAUAAUAAAACUGUAAUAUAAAUUGUAUUGUUUCCUAUCUUGUCCACCUUGGUAUGUUUUUUGGAAAUAAAUUCAAUUUUUUUCCUUUUUA